RNAcentral lists this ribosomal RNA (706 nucleotides) under uncultured bacterium. RNAcentral's name for it is "bacterial SSU rRNA". It matches the Rfam family "Bacterial small subunit ribosomal RNA", at positions 56 to 749 of the family's 1533-position model. The record is from RNAcentral.
UGCAAGUCGAGGGGCAGCAUGGUCUUAGCUUGCUAAGGCUGAUGGCGACCGGCGCACGGGUGAGUAACACGUAUCCAACCUGCCGUCUACUCUUGGCCAGCCUUCUGAAAGGAAGAUUAAUCCAGGAUGGGAUCAUGAGUUCACAUGUCCGCAUGAUUAAAGGUAUUUUCCGGUAGACGAUGGGGAUGCGUUCCAUUAGAUAGUAGGCGGGGUAACGGCCCACCUAGUCAACGAUGGAUAGGGGUUCUGAGAGGAAGGUCCCCCACAUUGGAACUGAGACACGGUCCAAACUCCUACGGGAGGCAGCAGUGAGGAAUAUUGGUCAAUGGGCGAUGGCCUGAACCAGCCAAGUAGCGUGAAGGAUGACUGCCCUAUGGGUUGUAAACUUCUUUUAUAAAGGAAUAAAGUCGGGUAUGCAUACCCGUUUGCAUGUACUUUAUGAAUAAGGAUCGGCUAACUCCGUGCCAGCAGCCGCGGUAAUACGGAGGAUCCGAGCGUUAUCCGGAUUUAUUGGGUUUAAAGGGAGCGUAGAUGGAUGUUUAAGUCAGUUGUGAAAGUUUGCGGCUCAACCGUAAAAUUGCAGUUGAUACUGGAUGUCUUGAGUGCAGUUGAGGCAGGCGGAAUUCGUGGUGUAGCGGCGAAAUGCUUAGAUAUCACGAAGAACUCCGAUUGCGAAGGCAGCCUGCUAAGCUGCAACUGACAUUGA